RNAcentral lists this ribosomal RNA (1897 nucleotides) under human gut metagenome. RNAcentral describes it as "bacterial LSU rRNA". It matches the Rfam family "Bacterial large subunit ribosomal RNA", at positions 1 to 1977 of the family's 2925-position model. The record is from RNAcentral.
UGAAGUAAGUAAGGGCGUACGGUGAAUGCCUUGGUGCCAACAGGCGAAGAAGGACGCGGCAAGCUGCGAAAAGCCUCGGGAAGCUGCAAGCAAGCGAUGAUCCGGGGAUAUCCGAAUGGGGUAACCUGAUCGAGGCAAUACUCGAUCGUUCAUACCUGAAUACAUAGGGUAUGAAACGCGAAACCCGCUGAAGUGAAACAUCUCAGUAAGCGGAGGAAAAGAAAGAGAAAUCGAUUCCGUAAGUAGUGGCGAGCGAAAGCGGAUGGAGCCCAAACCGAAGGUAUUCCUUCGGGGUUGUAGGACCACGUCAUAUUCGACCAUACUGGAUAGUAGAACAGCCUGGAAAGGCUGGCCGGAGAAGGUGAAAGCCCUGUAGACGAAAUCCAGAGUGGGAAUUAGUGGUAUCCUGAGUAAUACAUCACACGUGGAACGAUGUAUGAACCCGCGCGGACCACCGCGCAAGGCUAAAUACUAGUUGGCGACCGAUAGUGAACAAGUACCGCGAGGGAAAGGUGAAAAGAACCGCUGUGAGCGGAGUGAAAUAGAACCUGAAACCGUAUGUCUACAAAGUGUCAGAGCAGAGCAAUCUGCGAUGGCGUGCCUUUUGUUUAAUGAGUCUGCGAGUCAGUGUUUGUGGCAAGACUAAGGGCUUCCGGCCCGGAGUCGCAGCGAAAGCAAGUCCGAACAGGGCGCAAUAAGUCGCAGGUACUGGACCCGAAGCGGAGGUGACCUACCCUUGGCCAGGUUGAAGCAUGGGUAAAACCAUGUGGAGGACCGAACAGGUGAACGUUGAAAAGUUCUCUGAUGAGCUGAGGGUAGGAGUGAAAGGCUAAUCAAACCCCGUGAUAGCUGGUUCUCUUCGAAAUGCAUUUAGGUGCAGCGUCACGUGCUGAUGCGCGGGGGUAGAGCACUGACAAGGCUAGGGGGCACACCCGCUUACCAAACCUUAUCAAACUCCGAAUACCGUGCAAUGGAACGUGGCAGUGAGACAGUGGGGGAUAAGCUUCAUUGUCGAGAGGGAAACAACCCAGACCAGCAGCUAAGGUGCCUAAAUAACGCUCAGUGGAAAGGAUGUGGGAUUACACAGACAGUGAGGAUGUUGGCUUAGAAGCAGCCACCAUUUAAAAAAUGCGUAAUAGCUUACUCAUCGAGUGAUCCUGCGCCGAAAAUGAUUGGCGAUCAAGCGUUAUACCGAAGCUCUGGACUUUGCCGCAAGGCAGAGUGGUAGAAGAGCGUUGCAUGCGCGUCGAAGGGCGAUGGCGACUGACCCUGGAGCACAUGCAAGUGAGUAUGCAGACAUGAGUAACGUUAAGCCGGGUGAAAUCCCCGGCCGCCGUAAACCCGAGGUUUCCAGGGCAACGUGUUUCGUCCCUGGGUUAGCCGGGACCUAAGCCGAGGCCGAGAGGCGUAGGCGAUGGACAUCAGGUUAAUAAUCCUGAGCUCGCAACCCUUAAACUGGGGGGACGCAUGAGAAAAGAUGACUAGGUUAUUGAAUUCCGAGUUGAGUCCACGGACUCAGCGCAUCAUUGGAUCGAGUGCCAAGAAAAGCCCCAGCGUAUGCUAAGCGACCCGUACCGCAAACCGACACAGGUGGGUGGGUAGAAUAUACCAAGGCGUAAGAGUGAAACCUGGUUAAGGAACUCGGCAAAUUAGCCCCGUAACUUCGGAAGAAGGGGUGCCUGCAGCGAUGCAGGCCGCAGAGAAAUGGCCCAACCGACUGUUUAUCAAAAACACAGCACUCUGCAAAGACGCAAGUCGAAGUAUAGGGUGUGACACGUGACCAAUGCCGAAAGAUUAAGGCAAGGGGUUAGCCGCAAGGCGAAGCUCUAAACCCAAGUCCCGGUGAAUGUCGGCCGUAACUAUAACGGUCCUAAGGUAGCGAAAUUCCUUGUCGGGU